GAUGAACGCUAGCUACAGGCUUAACACAUGCAAGUCGAGGGGAAACGACAUCGGAAGCUUGCUUUUGAUGGGCGUCGACCGGCGCACGGGUGAGUAACGCGUAUCCAACCUGCCCACCACUUGGGAAUAACCUUGCGAAAGUAAGACUAAUACCCAAUGACGUCUCUAGAGGACAUCUGAAGUGGAAUAAAGAUUCAUCGGUGACGGAUGGGGAUGCGUCUGAUUAGCUUGUUGGCGGGGUAACGGCCCACCAAGGCGACGAUCAGUAGGGGUUCUGAGAGGAAGGUCCCCCACAUUGGAACUGAGACACGGUCCAAACUCCUACGGGAGGCAGCAGUGAGGAAUAUUGGUCAAUGGGCGGAAGCCUGAACCAGCCAAGUAGCGUGCAGGAAGACGGCCCUAUGGGUUGUAAACUGCUUUCAGUCGGGAAUAAUUCGUCGGUCGUGACCGGCGUUGCAGGUACCGUCAUAAGAAGGACCGGCUAAUUCCGUG
RNAcentral lists this ribosomal RNA (492 nucleotides) under uncultured bacterium. RNAcentral's name for it is "bacterial SSU rRNA". It matches the Rfam family "Bacterial small subunit ribosomal RNA", at positions 28 to 507 of the family's 1533-position model. The record is from RNAcentral.